Molecule: ribosomal RNA, 253 nt
Filed under: uncultured bacterium
Lineage: Bacteria
Description: partial 16S ribosomal RNA
Rfam family: Bacterial small subunit ribosomal RNA
Source: RNAcentral
UACAGAGGUCUCAAGCGUUGUUCGGAUUCAUUGGGCGUAAAGGGUGCGUAGGUGGCGCUGUAAGUCGGGUGUGAAAUUUCGGAGCUUAACUCCGAAACUGCAUUCGAUACUGCGGUGCUUGAGGACUGGAGAGGAGACUGGAAUUCAUGGUGUAGCAGUGAAAUGCGUAGAGAUCAUGAGGAAGACCAGUGGCGAAGGCGGGUCUCUGGACAGUUCCUGACACUGAGGCACGAAGGCCAGGGGAGCAAUCGGG